UCAAAAGGGAAAAAAAAAAAAAAAAUCUCAAUCUGCUUGUUAGUUUCUGAAUCCUUUGCCUUCCAUAGCUUAAAUUUCCAAUAAGAUUUGAAACUCAUCAAUGCUUAUUUAUUUUCAGCCUUUUACAGGAACCUUUAAAAUUAUUUUCACAGAUUUGAAUUGUAAUGUGAAAAUAACUGUAAGUUUUGUAACUUAUGGGAAGUUGAGUGUUGUUUCUUG
RNAcentral lists this unclassified non-coding RNA (219 nucleotides) under Hevea brasiliensis (rubber tree). Lineage: Eukaryota; Viridiplantae; Streptophyta; Magnoliopsida; Malpighiales; Euphorbiaceae. The record is from RNAcentral.